UACGGGGGGGGCAAGCGUUGUUCGGAAUUACUGGGCGUAAAGGGUUCGUAGGUGGCUUGCUAAGUCAGACGUGAAAUCCCUCAGCUUAACUGGGGAACUGCGUCUGAGACUGGCAAGCUUGAGUGCAGGAGAGGAAUGCGGAAUUCCAGGUGUAGCGGUGAAAUGCGUAGAUAUCUGGAGGAACACCGGUGGCGAAGGCGGCGUUCUGGACUGCAACUGACACUGAGGGACGAAAGCCAGGGGAGCAAACGGG
This 253-nucleotide ribosomal RNA is filed under the name uncultured bacterium. RNAcentral's name for it is "partial 16S ribosomal RNA". It matches the Rfam family "Bacterial small subunit ribosomal RNA", at positions 524 to 776 of the family's 1533-position model. The record is from RNAcentral.